AUCCCUGGCUGAGCACUCAGGUGAUGUGACACUCCUGCUUGGCUUCUUCCCUCAGAGAAGAUUAUGAGAUAUCCAUGGCUGAAAUCCAGGGGGAAUUGUGACAUAUCACUUGGCCCAGUACCAAGCAGACCUUAAAGGCACUGUGACGUAUUGCUCGGCUCAGCAACAAGGUGACGAGAGAUCCUGUGUGGACAUUGACAACAGAGAGCAUUGUGACAUAUCUUUGGGAGCAUCAGCUAUUUGAUGUGACUCUCCUUUUAUACCAAGGCUUUGCUCAUAGGGGAGAUCGUGAUGUAUCUUCUGGCCCAGAAAUCAGGCAAUGUGUUUCUCCUGCCUGAGCUUUGCUCACAGGGAGCAUUGUGACGUAUCACUGAGCCCAGCACCCAGGUGAUGGGACUCUACUGCCUGUCCCCUGCUUUCAGGAGGAAAUUGUAACAUAUCUCUGACCAAGCACCCAGGUGAUAAGUCUUCUGCCUGGUGCCUGUUCUCAGGGAAGAUUGUGACAUAUCCCUGGCCCAGCACCCAGAUGAUGCAGAUGACGUAUCUCUCCUGCUCACUCUCUAUCCACAGGUUCUGCCCACAAAGGAGAUUGUGGCAUACUGCUGGGCCUAACACUAAGGUGAUGUUACUUCUCUGCUUUGGCUAUGUCCUUAGAAGGCAUUGAGACACACUGCUGGGCCCAGCACCAAGAUGAUGUGAGUCCUCUGCCUGAACCCUGAUCACAGGGAGCAUUGUGACAUAUUUCUUGACCCACUGCAAUCUCUCCUAUGGACAAAGCCCAGGUGUUAUGACUCUUGUCUUUUCACUGGAACCUGCCAAGAAGGGUGAUUGUGACAUAUCACUGGACCCAGCACCUUGGUGAUGUGACUCUCCUCUCCUCCUUGGGCCCUGCUUACAUUGUGUCUGUUGAAAUACGGCUGGUCCAACACCUAGAUUGAUGACAAUCAGAUUCACUUAGAGUGGAAAAAAUAUGUUGGCCCUUAUAAAAUAGUGAUUAGAAGGCCUAUGUGCGUAAUAGAACCUCAUGUGUCUUCUGCUACUAAAGUCUAACAUUACUAAAUUCAACCAGGCUUUAAUGCAUUAUGGCAAAGCACAUUUUCACCAGGUGAGGAAAGCCUUUACUAGUCUACUGACUGAGGAGAGUAAAACCCUUUAUAAUCAAGAACUCAGAGAUUGAAUCUGCCUGCCACCUACACUGAUGCAAGACUUCAAGACCUUGAACAUUGGAUUGAUAAUCUCACAACUUAGAAGGGCCCCUUCAAACUCUUGAAAUUGUAAACCCAUAGGAGAUUUUAAGGUAAAGCUAACCAGGAAAGUUUGUCCUCAAAAGCAGAUGGCCGUCUCCAUGUAGAUAGCUUUUUUCACAAGAUCAAAAAUCAAGACAUCUCGUUAUCAUGACACUCUUAGUUCACAGUUUGUUUAUGGUUCUACAAACCACGGAAAUUUUAAAAAGUGGUCUCUUGUGUGCAGUCAUGGGGGUAUACUUAUAUGUAGAGAAUUUUGCAGCCAACAUUAUGUAUGAGGAAACUUAUUCCUUGAAAGGUAAAAGAAGAAGGGCCAAUGUAGGUGAGAAGUUUUAAUGAAACAUUUGUUUUCUCACAAUAUCAAAAACAGAAUAUUGGUCCACUGCUCUUAACCUAUUUCAUAAGUUAAAAAGAACUUAUUCAGAAUAGGUUAAAGAGCAUUGCCAGGAGGCCAUUACUCUUCUGAAUGGGUAUCACUGUUUAGAGUAAAUGAGGCAAUGGUUACAAAUUGAUCCCUCUCAAUAGGGCUCUAUAGCAGAUUAUACCAUAAAAACUAUGCUUACACAAUAGACUUUAAGUUUUCUCACAAAGUUAUGCUAAAUAUAAUUUCUUUUGAUUACUUACUGGAUAAAUAGAUAUCUGUGCAGUUGCUAAUAGUUGCCCAUGGAGAACUACAGCCGGUAUUACAGAGAUGCAGUUGUAGAUGAUUCAUGAACAGGCUGAUUAGAUGAAAUGAGUAGAUCAUUUAUCUAGCUAACUAUUUGAUCUAUUUAAUUUUAAUUGGUUGUUCAUGGGGACCCUGGCUAAAAAGCAUGCUUCAAACUCUUGGUAUUAUCCUCCUGAUACUCAAAAUGGUAAUCUUCCUACUGCACUGUAUUCUCUCAAAAGAUAUAAACGUUUGAAUGUAGUCAUCUGUAGAAUGUCAAAUGGUCUCUCUUUAACUGGAAUGACAGAAACUCAAAGACAUAUGUGACUAUGAAGACAGCACAACCUAUGAAUGACAUGCUAAGGACAAAAAACAAAAAUAAUGGAAACUGAGAGUGGCACUAAAGCCCCGAGUUUUGGUUACACUGUGACCUAUGUAAGAACUUAACCAAACGGGGAAUUUUUUAAAGAAAACUAUUGGAGGCCAUAAUUCUGGACUGAGCUUAUGCACUAGGUCCAAACAAACCAAACCAAAAUGAGUCACUCAUGCUGGAUGUGACAUAAUUAAACUAAAAAUUUAAGGCAACAGGUAGAUUCUAAAACUGGCCAGGUUUUGUUUUUCUUCUCUAAAUAGCAGAUUUCAACACAAGGAGGUCCCCUGUACUCUAACACUUU
Long non-coding RNA from Pan troglodytes (chimpanzee), 2564 nucleotides. RefSeq lists it as uncharacterized. The record is from RefSeq and is a predicted model, not a curated record. The transcript is spliced from 6 exons. Lineage: Eukaryota; Metazoa; Chordata; Mammalia; Primates; Hominidae.